RNAcentral lists this ribosomal RNA (1160 nucleotides) under Varuna litterata. Its description in RNAcentral is "16S ribosomal RNA". The record is from RNAcentral. Lineage: Eukaryota; Metazoa; Arthropoda; Malacostraca; Decapoda; Varunidae.
AUUAUAAAAAGCUUGUUAAAUUAAUUGUAGUAAUUUAUUGCCUAAGAAAAAUAAUUUUUAUUAAAAAUUAGUAAUUUUUAUUGAAUUACAAAAAUAACUAUAGUAGAAAGUACUGUAAAGGAAAAUUGAAAAAUUUAAAAUAGUAAAUUUAAAAAUUUGUACCUUGUGUAUCAGGGAAAAUUUAUAUUAAUUAAUAAAAAUUUAAAUAUCUCGAAAUAAAAUAUAGCUAAUCUUGUAAAAAAUUUUUUGUUGAAAAUAAAUUUUUAAUAUGGGAUUAAAGGUGAAAUGCUAAACGAGUUUUAUAAUAUCUGGUUUUCUAAAAAUAAAUUUAAUUUAAUUUUUAUAUUAAUUUAUAUAAAAUUUAAAUGUAGGAGGGAUUAGCUUCUUAUAAAUUAAAAUAAAAAAUAGUUUAAAAAUAAAAAUAUAAGUGAAUUAGGCUUAAAAGUAGCUAUAUUGAUAAAGUGUUUUAACUAAAUUGGAAUUAUAUAAUAUUUAUUUAAGCUUUUAUAUAUAUAUAUUAGGAAAUUAAUUAAAAUUUUAUUUAUUAAGUUAUAAUGAUUUUAUUAGUAGAAUUUUUUUUGUAAAUAAAAUACAUUAGAAUAAUUGUGAUUAUUUAAUUUUAUUGAGGUAAUAUAAAGGAACUCGGCAAAAUAAUUUCUUUGCCUGUUUAUCAAAAACAUGUCUGUUUGGAGUUAUAAAAAGUUUAACCUGCCCCCUGACUAGUAAUAAGAAGUUAAAUGGCCGCGGUAUUUUGACCGUGCAAAGGUAGCAUAAUCGUUAGUUUUUUAAUUGGAAUCUUGUAUGAAUGGUUGGACAAAAGAAAAUCUGUCUUUGUAUUAUUAAUUGAAUUUAACUUUUGAGUGAAAAGGCUUAAAUAAAUUGAAGUGACGAUAAGACCCUAUAAAACUUUAUAUAAACAUAUUAUUUGAUUGAAUUUAAAAUAAAAAUUUAAUAAUAAAAUUUAUUUUGUUGGGGCGAUAAAAGUAAAAUUUUUAUUAACUGCUUUAAGUUUUGAAUACAUUUAUGUUUGAUUAAAAUUUUUAGAUGAUCCUAAAUAAAGAUUAAAAGUUUAAGUUACUUUAGGGAUAACAGCGUUAUUUUUUUUGAGAGUACUUAUCGAAAAAAAAGUUUGCGACCUCGAUGUUGAAUUAAAAUUUCUU